CACACACUUCCAGUUGAUUUAGGGAAUGGAAAUAAGGGAAUAUAGGGAUAGGCAGCAUGACACACAUUAAUAAAAGACAAUUAGGCAGCAGCCUCAGCGUGCAUCUCGGCUUUGAUGGCAGAAGCUAAUUGGUCAUAUGCUUCACUCCAUGCUUCUUUCAUCUCAUCCUUCCAUUUAUUUCCCGUUGCUUCUUUCACUGUUCUCAACAAUGCUUCUUUUACUACCUCAAAAUGAGGGUCAGCAACUCGUUUCUGAAGAUGGAUGGAUCCCAAGUACUUGAGAGUAGUCUCACCUACCACCACUUCUCCCUUUUCUCGAAGCUGAAUUGCUGAUUCACAUGUCAUCUUGAAAACCUUAACAGCAUGAGCUCUAAGCUUGGGAUUAUUCUCAGGAAGUUCAUCAGAGUCCUUCAAGAAUGAGAACAUGUUCUUUGCUACUGGUGCUAUCUCCAGGAUCAAUGAGAAGAAACGAAGACUAAGUUGAGGAAUGUCUUGCUUCAUGAAUUCCCAUGAAUCUCUCACCAAAGCUUCUUGUUUAUCUGUGAACCCCAUCUUGUAUGAUU
Molecule: unclassified non-coding RNA, 562 nt
Filed under: Hevea brasiliensis (rubber tree)
Lineage: Eukaryota; Viridiplantae; Streptophyta; Magnoliopsida; Malpighiales; Euphorbiaceae
Source: RNAcentral